This 86-nucleotide ribosomal RNA is filed under the name Escherichia coli. The record is from RNAcentral. Lineage: Bacteria; Pseudomonadati; Pseudomonadota; Gammaproteobacteria; Enterobacterales; Enterobacteriaceae. RNAcentral also lists the same sequence under 5 other names.
UCUGGCGGCAGUAGCGCGGUGGUCCCACCUGACCCCAUGCCGAACUCAGAAGUGAAACGCCGUAGCGCCGAUGGUAGUGUGGGGUC